GCACAAUGGGGGAAACCCUGAUGCAGCCAUGCCGCGUGUGUGAAGAAGGCCUUCGGGUUGUAAAGCACUUUCAGUAGGGAGGAAGGUAGUGUAGUUAACACCUGCACUAUUGACGUUACCUACAGAAGAAGCACCGGCUAACUCCGUGCCAGCAGCCGCGGUAAUACGGAGGGUGCGAGCGUUAAUCGGAAUUACUGGGCGUAAAGCGCAUGCAGGUGGUUUGUUAAGUCAGAUGUGAAAGCCCGGGGCUCAACCUCGGAACUGCAUUUGAAACUGGCAGACUAGAGUACUGUAGAGGGGGUAGAAUUUCAGGUGUAGCGGUGAAAUGCGUAGAGAUCUGAAGGAAUACCGGUGGCGAAGGCGGCCCCCUGGACAGAUACUGACACUCAGAUGCGAAAGCGUGGGGAGCAAACAGGAUUAGAUACCCUGGGAG
Molecule: ribosomal RNA, 433 nt
Filed under: uncultured bacterium
Lineage: Bacteria
Description: bacterial SSU rRNA
Rfam family: Bacterial small subunit ribosomal RNA
Source: RNAcentral